AAGAAGAGAGACAAGUGCGGUCCCAUGAGACCCGGAAUGCUUAUGGUCUACCCUGCAGUCAAUUGACAGCAAUUCUUGUUUGGAAAUCAAUGCAUCUGCACUCUGAGUUGCACUGGAUCCUGGCGGACCAGAGCUCUGCACUAUUUCAUUUUGACUAGGUGCACUUACUUGCCAUUUACAGGACAGAAGGGAGUGGGGGCUGCGCUUUGCCGUGUCUGCCAUUUCCAUUGUGAAGCACAGUGGAGAGGUCCUGGUUUUCUGCAGCAGUUUUAGCAAGAGGUCCUGAUUUCUGGGCAGUGGCUCUGCGAGGCCUGGACCUGCUACCCCAGAUGAAGCCCAGCCUCAGGGGUGAGGCUGCCCAACAAGUUCCUGACUCAGAGGAAGCCACAGCUUGAGUUGUCAUCGAUGUUGCUGUUGGCCCAGGGGUGAGUUGGUACCACCUAACACCCCUCAAGAGGAGACCCAGCCUCCUGCAUG
RNAcentral lists this long non-coding RNA (477 nucleotides) under Homo sapiens (human). RNAcentral's name for it is "HSALNT0151954". Lineage: Eukaryota; Metazoa; Chordata; Mammalia; Primates; Hominidae. The record is from RNAcentral.